AGUAACGGCGAGUGAAGCGGCAAAAGCUCAAAUUUGAAAUCCUGCGGGAAUUGUAAUUUGAAGGUUUCGUGGUCUGAGUCGGCCGCGCCCAAGUCCAUUGGAACAUGGCGCCUGGGAGGGUGAGAGCCCCGUCUGGCGCACGCCGACUCUUUGCACCGCGGCUCCGACGAGUCGAGUUGUUUGGGAAUGCAGCUCUAAGUGGGUGGUAAAUUCCAUCUAAAGCUAAAUAUUGGCGAGAGACCGAUAGCGAACAAGUACAGUGAUGGAAAGAUGAAAAGCACUUUGAAAAGAGAGUGAAACAGCACGUGAAAUUGUUGAAAGGGAAGGGCUUGCAAGCAGACACGGUUUUACCGGGCCAGCGUCGAAAAGGGGGGAGGAACAAGAACUCGAGAAUGUGGCGCGCACCUUCGGGCGCGCGUGUUAUAGCUCGUGUUGACGCCUCCAUCCCUUUUCGAGGCCUGCGAUUCUAGGACGCUGGCGUAAUGGUUGCAAGCCGCCCGUCUUGAAACACGGACCUCCUGU
RNAcentral lists this ribosomal RNA (522 nucleotides) under Clavispora sp. BM6-1. RNAcentral's name for it is "eukaryotic LSU rRNA". It matches the Rfam family "Eukaryotic large subunit ribosomal RNA", at positions 82 to 664 of the family's 3401-position model. Lineage: Eukaryota; Fungi; Ascomycota; Pichiomycetes; Serinales; Metschnikowiaceae. The record is from RNAcentral.